CAAUAAAGUUGAACAACUUGAACUUAUCAACAAAGAGAGAACUUAAAAGUCCCGAUUUUGACUUUUGCAGACAAUAAAAUAUUCAGAUCACGUUGUGUUUACACACCUGUGAAGGGUCCCACUUCUCAAUAUAAAUGACCGAGUCUUCUUGUGAACCCUGUGAAGCGUCAGCCAGUUGAAGAUGCCCUUCGUCGUGCCCUGGUGGUAUUUAAGGGGAGAGUGGAGCUCCUCUGUCCCAAUCUAAACUUAGCUCUGCCAGAACCACUCCUCAUCAAAACGUGCUCCACAAAAGAUUACAAAAGGGAUCAAGUUAGACUUGACUGAGUCAGACUAUUUUGUAGCUGAGCCUCCUAUAACAAGGUGAGUGUAUGCUCUGGAUAUCUUUAGGUGCUGCUGUCAAUUUAGUAAUUUUUAUUAAUCUCAAAUGACCGUUUAAUCUUAGAGCUGCUUUUAGAUGUGUCACACAUUGCUCACUGCUAUGGCAUGAGUGACAUUUUUUUCAGUUUCCAAACCUAUAAAAAGAUCAAUGUCAAGCAUGGAUGACUCCUUAACAAAGCAUGAUCUGGUGCUUAUCUAAAUCAACUUGUUUGAUUUCUGCUCUAACAUUUUGCAGGGUUUUUUUUUCUUUCAUUGUCUGCACUCGUAUUCCUCUGUCACCACGGGCAACUUUAUCUCGGCACUCAUUCCUGGUAACAAUCAUGAUGGAGGAGAAAAUGCAGGAGAGACACUCUGACGGUAUCAUGAACUCUUCAUCUCACCAAGAAAGCUCGAGCUCAAACAGAUCUACACUGAAGGCCACAGAACCUGGAAGCAUGUCCACGCAGUCUUUCUCUUCUCUGCUGCCAAAGGCUCUCUCUGCUGUGCUCCAUCCAGCUCCUCCACCAGGCCAAAACUCAGCUUGCCAUCCCAGCAGAAACCCAGAUAACCACUCACCAAACCUGGAACGACUACAAACAGAGCUGAGAGACCUUCGAGAUCAGUUGGAACAGAUGAAGAGCCAGCACAACAAAGAAAUUAAACUGUUAAUGAACGAGCUUGAUGAGGAGAAGAGGAUCCGCCUGACUUUGCAGGUAAAGAAAAGGCAUGAUGGAGUGAGUCUGUUGAACCGCUAA
Oryzias javanicus (javanese ricefish) is the source of this 1112-nucleotide long non-coding RNA. NCBI's taxonomy places the organism in Eukaryota, Metazoa, Chordata, Actinopteri, Beloniformes, Adrianichthyidae. The record is from Ensembl.